UGAUUAAUGUGGAUAGUUAUGGGUAAAAUACACAAAUAUUUCAAAAUAAGCAAGUGGUUAUGAAAUAUUCAUUGUUGUCGGAGAAUAUUCGUUUGGUCGUGGAAUAUUCGUACUGUCGGGGAAUAUUCGUACGACGGCGCAGCCAUGUGUGGACCCCAUAACGGAAAGCGAUUGGAGGAAGAAAACGACAAAUAUAAGUUGUUUAAAAAUAACGG
This 215-nucleotide long non-coding RNA is filed under the name Panax ginseng (ginseng). Its description in RNAcentral is "long non-coding RNA (PGIN_LNC008407)". The record is from RNAcentral. Lineage: Eukaryota; Viridiplantae; Streptophyta; Magnoliopsida; Apiales; Araliaceae.